This is a long non-coding RNA of Bos taurus (domestic cattle), 1683 nucleotides long. NCBI's taxonomy places the organism in Eukaryota, Metazoa, Chordata, Mammalia, Artiodactyla, Bovidae. The record is from Ensembl.
AACCAACUCCAGCCCCCUUAUUCAGCUGGCGGCUCCAGAGGGCCACGACGGGGGCUGCGUCUGUUCAGUGCUCGUGGGUCUCCCUCACCAGACUGUCAGCUCCAGGAGGGCAGGGGCCUUCGUGUGGUCUUGUUUGCUGCUGCAGCCCCAGCACAGGAUGGAUGCUCAGCAAAUCUGUCGAGUAACUGAGUGCGGAGAAGGAAGGUGGUGGGGCUGGAGGCAGGCAGCUCGCUGAAGCGCGGGGGGCCAGAUUAGGGGGAGAGGGAAACCUGGAAGUGUCGGCGGGGCUCAGGGGGCCUCCAGGACAAUCCCUGCUGACCUUUGACCUGCCCGAGCCCGGGGCGGGAGCCACGCCCCACUGGCCCCGGGACCAGCACUCCGGCAAAGUUUGUAACCAACGGGAAACCACGCUGCAGGGCCGCGCUCAGCCUCUGAACGCCUUUAAUUGCGAGGUUUUGACCCCUGCAAAGACACACGUCAUCAAGAGGCGCCUGUAUCAUAAAAUAAUAAAGUGAACCCCGGGAAUCCACCUGACCAUCUCAGAGUUAACCACGAGUUUGAUUUUUGCAUUUAUUACAUUCUUAUUUUGGUUGCUUUUUGUGCUUAUUACACCCUUAUUUUGUUUUUGUGUUUAUUACACCCUUAUUUUGGCUGACUUUUGUGUUUGGUGGUUUAGUCUUUAGGUCGUGUCCGACUCUUGCAAUCCCAUGGACUGUAGCCCGCCAGACUCCUCUGUCCAGGGCCCAGGAUUGCUUUUAUGAAUGAGGCUGCUGUUUAAAAAAGCUGCAUCACAGCCACCGUUUUGAGCGGGGCUUCUGAGGAUGACCCAAGAUGGUUCUGUGCCUCUCUCCCACCGCCUUAAAGUACCCUGGGGUCCUCUGACUUUCUCCCCAAGGGCCGCCUGCUGCUGCCUGGAGCCAUGCUCCCACUGCAGGAACAAGCCGGCGGGCUCCUCGCUGAGCAGCUCAGCUGCAGGCGUGGAAGCCGGUGUUCCUGUGAACUGUGUGGCCGUCUGAGAGGAGCAGCCAGCUGCAGGAGGCUGGCCGGCUGCUGGAGGAGGGACCCAGCACAGCGUGGGGCAAGGGUGCAGACCACACACCCGCCUGGCCUUCAGCUUUGCAAGUCCAGAAACAGCGGGUGCUCUAGGGCGCCUUCCACCUACUCCCACUCAUUAAGCCCACAGAGGCCCUUGCUUAUACUUCAUGCCAACUUCCAUUUAGAAUGGAAGCCAUCCCCCAGCGUCCCUUACCCAGGGACCCAGUCCCAGUGCCACGAUGCUUGUAAAGUGGAAGUGGUUGCUUGGUGAGAAUGGACUUGGAAGAGAGAGAGGAAAGCCUCAAGAAGGUAACUAUCCAAACCCUGGAAAAGCUCUGCAUCUUCUGGUCCCGUUCCUGAGCCACCUCCAGGGCUGAGACCACCACGUGUCUCAUACACCACAGCCACAUACACCUGCCCUGGAAAAGGCCGGGCCUGCUCUGCAACCAUUCAUUUCCAUUCAUGAUGACCUUGCCGAGGCUUUGGACACCAUAAAAGAUCAAGUGGGUUUUCAGUUUAGUCUGUAUGAUAGAAACUGCUUAUCUUCCUGAGUGUUUUUCCCACACUUAGAGUUCUGGGGACACUCUCCUGUUACCCUAUGCAUCACCUGUCCUAACUUCUUCCAGAAAGGCAAAGAGUGGGCUUAUG